CUCAUAUAACACAGUGGAUUGGUUCCAGCAAAACUCUGGAAAACUGUGUUAUACAAGCAACUAGCAACUAUUAUAGGAACCUGAACUUAAGGGAACUGUGCAGGACAAGAGGAUUCACCUAUGCAGAUCAAAGGAUAACUGCACUUGAUGGACUGCUAGGGAAACUGCAUGGUACAUCACAGACCAAGGUUCCAAAUAAAGGACAGUCAUGGAAAAGUGAACUGGACCUUACUUGCCUCUCAUCUAAUGAUAGUGGCCUUCUGUGCAGUAACCUGCAAAACUGCAUCCUGAAGCAAGAUCUUUCUGGCACUAUUAUCCAGGAUGUUCUGAAGCUUUAUAGAUACCUAUUCUUUUAUAAAGAAAUUACUUGCCUUUUUUUUUUUUUGAGAUCGUCUGACACAGAAAUCUCUGCUUUGCUGCCUUGAAUGUCAGUCUGACACUAUCAAGAAGUAAUUAGAAAAUGGGCUUGUUUUCUCCAGCAUCACUCAGAUGACAUUGUUUAGGACUACAAAGAACUGAUAACUCUCUCCAUGCGUUCAUUUAAU
RNAcentral lists this long non-coding RNA (545 nucleotides) under Salvator merianae (Argentine black and white tegu). RNAcentral describes it as "lncRNA (ENSSMRG00000005450.1)". Lineage: Eukaryota; Metazoa; Chordata; Lepidosauria; Squamata; Teiidae. The record is from RNAcentral.